CCUACGGGUGACAGCAGUCGAGAAUCAUUCACAAUGGGGGAAACCCUGAUGGUGCGACGCCGCGUGGGGGAAUGAAGGUCUUCGGAUUGUAAACCCCUGUCAUGUGGGAGCAAAUUAAAAAGAUAGUACCACAAGAGGAAGAGACGGCUAACUCUGUGCCAGCAGCCGCGGUAAUACAGAGGUCUCAAGCGUUGUUCGGAAUCACUGGGCGUAAAGCGUGCGUAGGCUGUUUCGUAAGUCGUGUGUGAAAGGCGCGGGCUCAACCCGCGGACGGCACAUGAUACUGCGAGACUAGAGUAAGGGAGGGGGAACCGGAAUUCUCGGUGUAGCAGUGAAAUGCGUAGAUAUCGAGAGGAACACUCGUGGCGAAGGCGGGUUCCUGGACACUAACUGACGCUGAGGCACGAAGGCCAGGGGAGCGAAAGGGAUUAGAUACCCGGGUAGUC
This 446-nucleotide ribosomal RNA is filed under the name uncultured bacterium. RNAcentral's name for it is "partial 16S ribosomal RNA". It matches the Rfam family "Bacterial small subunit ribosomal RNA", at positions 338 to 795 of the family's 1533-position model. The record is from RNAcentral.